RNAcentral lists this long non-coding RNA (1795 nucleotides) under Helianthus annuus (common sunflower). RNAcentral describes it as "hypothetical non coding rna". Lineage: Eukaryota; Viridiplantae; Streptophyta; Magnoliopsida; Asterales; Asteraceae. The record is from RNAcentral.
UUUUUCCUUUCUUUAUUUCACCCGAUCUCCCUUUCUCUCUCUCUAUAUAUAUAUUCUUAAUUUUUAUUUAUUUGCACCAUAAUAAUAAUAAAGCCCUGUCCCGUUUUAAGUAUUUUAACUCUCGAUCACCGCUACCCUUUCCGAUUGAUCUGAGUCCCAUAACGCAUGUCAAGGCUCUGCCCGACUAAGUUCGUUUGGAUUCUAUCUCGGGACUUCGGGACAAGGUUAAAUUAAGGGUACUAUACUUAACACGAGUGCAUUAUAGCUUAAAAGUUAUACCCAAAAUUUAUACCAGGAGUCCUUCUAGUUGAACCCUAAAGUUACACAGUGGGUCCAUUCCUUUUUCCCACCAUUUUAUUCUCUUUUUGUAAGUUACCAAAACUAUUAUUUAUUAUUUAUUAUUUCUAUUUUGUAAACAAACUUUCAUCAAAAGUCAUACCUAUUAUUUUAUUUACCCAAUAGGGAACCAUAGUUGGGACACCCAAGUAAUCCUGCACAACUCCUAAAAUUUCCGGAACAAUCAGAAUCAGGAUCAGGGCCCCUAAAACUCAGGGGGGGCAAAACCCUAGUUACGAUUAUCUAAAUAACUUGCUGGCCGUUUUGAAUUUUACGAUUUCAUCAACUCAGCAAGCCUAGUUAGGGACGUGGCUACCUAUAGAAACUAGGUUACCCCUCGCGUAGCGCGACGCCCAUGGGGGGUACCCCUCGCGCUACGCAACAGGGUCAAAUUUCGUGUAUAAAUAGUAGAGGUUGGGACUUGAAUUCUGGCACAAAAUCGACGUUAAAAGUCGAAUUAUACACGGAGUUAUGCUCUGUUUACCACAAUUAACACACACAAACCUCGAAACGCUGCCGCAAUCAGGGUAAUAACUCGAUCGCUAUUACGAUUCAUUCUCCGAGAUCAAUAUAUCCAAAGAAUGUCUAAGUGCCGCCCACUUUGGGUUAUGCUUUGUCGUUUGUCGAUAAUUCGAUAAAUGAGUUGAAGCAUUAUACUUUGUCGUUUGUCGAUAAUUCGAUAAAUGAGUUGAAGUAUUAUACUUUGUCGUUUGUCAUUUUGAUAAACGAGUUGAAGUAUUGCACUUUGUCAUUCAUUGUAAGAAUUUGAUCUCGUAAGUUAUCGUAAAAGCUGUAUUGAUCAUUAACCGGGUUUUGUGUGCAUCCUUUCCUAAAUUAGGAUUAUUAGUCUUAAUACACUUACAAUCAAAGUAGAUACUAAUUCUCAGAAGAAUCUGAACCAUGAAGCUUGUUAAUUCAAAUACUGCAUGCUGAUUUGUGAGUUAUUCUUCUUUUAUAAACUCUUUUCUCACAGUUUUGAUUAAGUUUAUGUAAUCACCAAAUUACAGCCGGUAUGUGGGGUAUUGUGCACAGUAUUAUUAUUGUUUUAAUCACAUUAGGUGGGCGAGCCUAAAAGAAAGUGAUAUACGUCACUCAUUGGGCCAGCCAAUGGUGAUAUGACCACAGUCACAGAGCUGGUCUGUGACAAAUACCUAUUCUUGAAAUGUUGGUUGAUAAUAAACAUAUGUAAAAACUCUUAAUACUGUGAAUUAUAACAAAUGUGUCGUUUUCAGUAAAAUGAAUAAUUCACUCAGUAUUUCCCGCUGACAAAAUCUUUUUAAACGCGUUUCAGGUAAUUACAAUAGAUUGGAGUAAGGAUUGGAUCCGACACUGAAGGACUUCAAGAAGUGGCUUAUUUUCAAAUUAAGAAAUAUUGUUUUAUUAAAAGCUACCUUUGUAAAACAUGGAAUUUAUUCCAUCCAUUUAAAUAAAAUCCGGUGUUUCUAAACUCUGAUAUUUU